GUGGGGAAUAUUGCACAAUGGGCGCAAGCCUGAUGCAGCGACGCCGCGUGGGGGAUGACGGCCUUCGGGUUGUAAACCUCUUUCAGUAGGGACGAAGCGCAAGUGACGGUACCUACAGAAGAAGCACCGGCCAACUACGUGCCAGCAGCCGCGGUAAUACGUAGGGUGCGAGCGUUGUCCGGAAUUACUGGGCGUAAAGAGCUUGUAGGUGGUUUGUCGCGUUGUUCGUGAAAUCUCACGGCUUAACUGUGAGCGUGCGGGCGAUACGGGCAGACUAGAGUACUGCAGGGGAGACUGGAAUUCCUGGUGUAGCGGUGGAAUGCGCAGAUAUCAGGAGGAACACCGGUGGCGAAGGCGGGUCUCUGGGCAGUAACUGACGCUGAGAAGCGAAAGCGUGGGGAGCGAACAGGAUUAGAUACCCCUGUAGUCC
This 430-nucleotide ribosomal RNA is filed under the name uncultured bacterium. RNAcentral's name for it is "bacterial SSU rRNA". It matches the Rfam family "Bacterial small subunit ribosomal RNA", at positions 354 to 796 of the family's 1533-position model. The record is from RNAcentral.